CCAAAUGACACCCACGUUCAGGGGGUCCCAUGUGGGUUCCCCAGCUGUGAGAUUGGGGUCUGUGAGCUCGCACUUGCUCAGGUCAGCUGUUUCUGUGGGCUUCUUCAGCAUGGUCCCCACCCCCCUGCUCAUCCCUCCCUCUUCACCACUGGACUCCGGGAGUUUGGCUCAGCGCCCAGUUGAGGGUCUCUGCAUCUGCUUCCAUCAGCCACUGGAUGAAGGCUCUAGGAUGGCAUUCAAGGGGCACUGUGUCAACUUCCUCGUGGCCGUGACCAAGACAGGGGAGAAAAAACUAAAAGCACCACUUUUUAAGAAAUACAGUAUGAUAUGGAGGCAUGCAUCUCACCGUACCCAUGUGAGGUCAGAAGACAAUUUAUGAGAGUUGGCUUGCUGCUUCCCAAUGGAACUCCAGUCAUCAAAUUUGGAGACAAAUGCCUGUACCCGCUGAGCCAUCUGGCCACCCCAUAGAUUUGUAAUGUAUUUUUAAAAUCAGAAAACGGGGCCUGGAGAGAUGGCUCAGAGGUUAACAGCAUUGGCUGUUUUUCCCAAGGAUCUGAGUUCAAUUCCCAGCAACCACAUGGUGGCUAGCGACCGUCUGUAAUGAGAUCUGGCGCCCUCUUCUGGCUAUCGGGCAUACGGAUAGAUGCUGUAUACUAAAUAAAUCUAAAAACUGUUUUUUAAAAAAA
This is a long non-coding RNA of Mesocricetus auratus (golden hamster), 686 nucleotides long. RefSeq lists it as uncharacterized. The transcript has 3 exons. The record is from RefSeq and is a predicted model, not a curated record. NCBI's taxonomy places the organism in Eukaryota, Metazoa, Chordata, Mammalia, Rodentia, Cricetidae.